GCUGGGCAUGGUGGUGCACACCUGUAAUCCCAGUGGCUCAGGAGGCUGAGGCAGGAGGAUCACGAGUUCAAAGCCAGCCUCAGCAAUGGCUAAGCAACUCAGUGAGACCCUAUCUUUA
RNAcentral lists this small RNA (118 nucleotides) under Marmota monax (woodchuck). The record is from RNAcentral. Lineage: Eukaryota; Metazoa; Chordata; Mammalia; Rodentia; Sciuridae.